Symsagittifera roscoffensis is the source of this 985-nucleotide long non-coding RNA. RefSeq lists it as uncharacterized. The record is from RefSeq and is a predicted model, not a curated record. The transcript is spliced from 3 exons. NCBI's taxonomy places the organism in Eukaryota, Metazoa, Xenacoelomorpha, Acoela, Convolutidae.
UUUUGCGUUCCUGAAAGAUGCUAGUUUGAGUCAAGGGACUUCUCGAGUCACUUACUACAGCUAUAAAGCUUAGAUAAGAGCCUCUUACUGAACCAUCUAUGGAGCUGUUUGGCUUGAAUGGUCUCUGGAUGUACAACGCAGAUGCUCCCAGCUGCAUCGAUUAUGCAAUUACUGGUCUCGAGUUGUUUUCCACGAUAAAGGCUCCAGAGCUAGCUCUGUCAUCUAGCUGUACUUCAAACUUCAAAGAAGAUCUUUAAAUUGGUUCCACAAAGGGAACCUUCUUCACCUUUUACUCUGGUAGUUUGUAGCUAAUACUGCAGCAUCUACAGCAGCAUCAAGCAACAACAACAACUUCCUUUACUUAGAAUAGACUACUGAUAACUGUAGUCCGAGUAUUUCUUGCUGAUUGCUAAGCAGCCGGCAAUUCGUGUUCGUUACUGACUUUUGUCAUUGACUUCGCUUCUGACUUAAUCGACUGAUAUGCUUGAUUUGGCUCCAGCUGCCGCCUUUACUGGUUUAAGAUUUUCUAGAAUUUGACUUAGAAGCUUCCGUCUUGCACAAAGCAGAUGUAUGGAGUCCAAGGAACGUUUGAAAAUCUUAAUUAAUCUUCACUUAUCAUCGAAAUCAUCAUGAGCAGUUCUCUUGCUCGCUCUCGCUCGCUCUCUCUCCUCAAAUCAAUGAACUUUCUGAAUCGUACUGAAGUCCAGUCUCUAGAAGACACUUGAAUAUGCUGCAGAUCUCAACUCAGAAUAGCGGAGAAAGUAUUCAAAAACACGGUACGCCUUACUUGACUGCAAUUAUUUGCUCAACAGAUCUAUACAUAUGCCUACAAUGUGGUUGCAACAAAAUACGAAAACAAUUUUUGAGAAUUGUUUCAUUGUACUAUGAAGAUGGAUCCAAUGUAUUGUCCGUAGAGUUAUAACUUGUUUAUCUGAAGCUUUUUGUUCGUAAAGUUAUUACUGGUAAUUGAAUUGACGCAAAACUA